ACGUCGGUGGUUUAGAGUUAGAAUGCUCGCCUGCCAUGCGGGCAGUCCUGGUUUGAUUCCCGGCUGGCGCA
Schistosoma haematobium is the source of this 71-nucleotide non-coding RNA. The record is from Rfam. NCBI's taxonomy places the organism in Eukaryota, Metazoa, Platyhelminthes, Trematoda, Strigeidida, Schistosomatidae.